RNAcentral lists this ribosomal RNA (624 nucleotides) under Salinicola sp. RNAcentral's name for it is "bacterial SSU rRNA". It matches the Rfam family "Bacterial small subunit ribosomal RNA", at positions 379 to 995 of the family's 1533-position model. The record is from RNAcentral. Lineage: Bacteria; Pseudomonadati; Pseudomonadota; Gammaproteobacteria; Oceanospirillales; Halomonadaceae.
AAGCCUGAUCCAGCCAUGCCGCGUGUGUGAAGAAGGCUUUCGGGUUGUAAAGCACUUUCAGCGAGGAAGAARGCCUCUGGGYYAAUACCCCAGAGGAAGGACAUCACUCGCAGAAGAAGCACCGGCUAACUCCGUGCCAGCAGCCGCGGUAAUACGGAGGGUGCGAGCGUUAAUCGGAAUUACUGGGCGUAAAGCGCGCGUAGGUGGCUUGGCACGCCGGUUGUGAAAGCCCCGGGCUCAACCUGGGAACKGCAUCCGGAACGGCCAGGCUAGAGUGCAGGAGAGGAAGGUAGAAUUCCCGGUGUAGCGGUGAAAUGCGUAGAGAUCGGGAGGAAUACCAGUGGCGAAGGCGGCCUUCUGGCCUGACACUGACACUGAGGUGCGAAAGCGUGGGUAGCAAACAGGAUUAGAUACCCUGGUAGUCCACGCCGUAAACGAUGUCGACUAGCCGUUGGGACCUUUAAGGACUUAGUGGCGCAGUUAACGCGAUAAGUCGACCGCCUGGGGAGUACGGCCGCAAGGUUAAAACUCAAAUGAAUUGACGGGGGCCCGCACAAGCGGUGGAGCAUGUGGUUUAAUUCGAUGCAACGCGAAGAACCUUACCUACCCUUGACAUCCAGAGAA